This 520-nucleotide ribosomal RNA is filed under the name uncultured Glomus. RNAcentral describes it as "SSU rRNA". It matches the Rfam family "Eukaryotic small subunit ribosomal RNA", at positions 569 to 1092 of the family's 1831-position model. Lineage: Eukaryota; Fungi; Glomeromycota; Glomeromycetes; Glomerales; Glomeraceae. The record is from RNAcentral.
AGCAGCCGCGGUAAUUCCAGCUCCAAUAGCGUAUAUUAAAGUUGUUGCAGUUAAAAAGCUCGUAGUUGAAUUUCGGGAUCAGUAUGUUGGUCGUGCUUCGGUACGUACUGUCAUUACUGGUUUCUACCUUCUGAAGAACCUUGAUGUCAUUAAUUUGGUGUCUUGGGGAAUCAGGACUGUUACUUUGAAAAAAUUAGGGUGUUUAAAGCAAGCAUACGCUUGAAUACAUUAGCAUGGAAUAAUGAAAUAGGACGUUUGAUUCUAUUUUUGUUGGUUUCUAGGAUUGACGUAAUGAUUAAUAGGGAUAGUUGGGGGCAUUAGUAUUCAAUUGUCAGAGGUGAAAUUCUUGUAUUUAUUGAAGACUAACUACUGCGAAAGCAUUUGCCAAGGAUGUUUUCAUUAAUCAAGAACGAAAGUUAGGGGAUCGAAGACGAUCAGAUACCGUCGUAGUCUUAACCAUAAACUAUGCCGACUAGGGAUCGGAUGAUGUAAUUUUUAAUGACUCAUUCGGCGCCUUAAC